AUUGAACGCUGGCGGCAUGCCUUACACAUGCAAGUCGAACGGCAGCACGGGAGCAAUCCUGGUGGCGAGUGGCGAACGGGUGAGUAAAGUAUCGGAACGUGCCCAGUCGUGGGGGAUAACGUAGCGAAAGUUACGCUAAUACCGCAUACGAUCUAUGGAUGAAAGCGGGGGAUCGCAAGACCUCGCGCGAUUGGAGCGGCCGAUAUCAGAUUAGGUAGUUGGUGGGGUAAAGGCUCACCAAGCCGACGAUCGGUAGCUGGUCUGAGAGGACGACCAGCCACACUGGGACUGAGACACGGCCCAGACUCCUACGGGAGGCAGGAGUGGGGAAUUUUGGACAAUGGGCGAAAGCCUGAUCCAGCCAUGCCGCGUGCAGGAUGAAGGCCUUCGGGUUGUAAACUGCUUUUGUACGGAACGAAAAGGUUUGGGCUAAUAAGCUGAGCUCAUGACGGUACCGUAAGAAUAAGCACCGGCUAACUACGUGCCAGCAGCCGCCGUAA
This 500-nucleotide ribosomal RNA is filed under the name uncultured bacterium. Its description in RNAcentral is "partial 16S ribosomal RNA". It matches the Rfam family "Bacterial small subunit ribosomal RNA", at positions 30 to 523 of the family's 1533-position model. The record is from RNAcentral.